Molecule: long non-coding RNA, 720 nt
Organism: Gordionus sp. m RMFG-2023
Lineage: Eukaryota; Metazoa; Nematomorpha; Gordioida; Chordodea; Parachordodidae
Exons: 4
Source: RefSeq, a predicted model, not a curated record
AAAGUGUCCACACAUUGUAAUCAGCUGUAGCGCCAUUUUGUAGUUUGGUUAUCCAUUAUUUGUCAGCAAGAAAUAUUAAUAUAUAGAAAACAAGUCUAGUUUUAAAGAUUUCCAUUAAAAUCCAAAGAAUUAUUGGAAAAAUGGUUACAGGCUAUAAAUAGAAAAAAUUUUAUGCCUAAUAAAUGUAGUAUAAUGGGGGUUUAGUGAUUCCUUCAUCUAGUAUGUCUAUAUUAUGCCGAAUUUGUGAAAGUUCAUUUAGAACUUAUCAAAAUGAUAUUAAACGUAAAAAUAUUAUUAAAAAAAUGGAAGUGUUGGUUUUUUCCACAAUAAUUGGUACAAAUAUUUUUAUUGAUCUUACUGAACAACAUGAGAUUGGUUACAGCCAUUUUCAAAUUCUUGUAAAAUUAAUUGUUCAAAGAUAUUUAAAUAUUAGAUUUUUCCAUUUUGCUGACUUGAGAAACCAGGAAUUGAGAACUGGUAUGAGGCAAAAUCUUACAAAAGCAAUACAAUUUAAUAAUCAAUAAGUCAUGUGAUGAUAGAAUCAAAAAGGAUGAAUGUUUAUAAUCAAAGAUAAUAUGAAUGUGAAUCAUCAUAUUGUUAAAAAUACAUUUUGUUUUUUUAAAGUGUACACAUUUAUAUUUUUAUAUAUUUAUUGUAUAAACCUUAUUUAAAUGAUUUAUAUAAUAAUUUAUACCCAUGCAAAAAAUGUUAUUAUUACAC